Molecule: ribosomal RNA, 259 nt
Filed under: uncultured bacterium
Lineage: Bacteria
Description: partial 16S ribosomal RNA
Rfam family: Bacterial small subunit ribosomal RNA
Source: RNAcentral
GUCCACGCCCUAAACGAUGUCAACUGGUUGUUGGGAAUUCACUUUCUCAGUAACGAAGCUAACGCGUGAAGUUGACCGCCUGGGGAGUACGGCCGCAAGGUUAAAACUCAAAGGAAUUGACGGGGACCCGCACAAGCGGUGGAUGAUGUGGUUUAAUUCGAUGCAACGCGAAAAACCUUACCCACCUUUGACAUGUAUGGAAGAUCGCAGAGACGCGAUUGUGCUCGAAAGAGAGCCAUAACACAGGUGCUGCAUGGCU